This 413-nucleotide long non-coding RNA is filed under the name Rattus norvegicus (Norway rat). Its description in RNAcentral is "long non-coding RNA NONRATT000456". Lineage: Eukaryota; Metazoa; Chordata; Mammalia; Rodentia; Muridae. The record is from RNAcentral.
CUGGAGAGUCUUCUGGCUCUUCCUGUGCGCCUGUGCUCCUGAUGUAUCCUCUCAGUGACCGCGUCUGCAGCCCGAGGAGAAGUGAGGCAUUCAAGUCCUCUCUAGCUGGGCUCUGCCUGAGGCGAGGCUGCCCUACACUGACCCACCUCAGCAGCUUGCAGAGGUCCCAGGAGAGUCUAGUUUCUCUGGGGAGCCUUGAGAAGGAGCUGUGAUGAGAGAUGGAGGCAGUGACGUUCAGGGAUGUGGCCGUGGUCUUCAGUAAGGAGGAGAUGGGGUUGCUGGACGCUGCCCAGAGGAAGCUGUACCACGAUGUGAUGGUGGAGAACCUCAGGAACCUCCUGGCAGUGGGAGGCCAGAGUCCAAGUACAAUGAAGACAGUCGACACGCCAGGAGUAAGGUGCCUUUCACUGGGG